RNAcentral lists this long non-coding RNA (937 nucleotides) under Sorghum bicolor (sorghum). RNAcentral's name for it is "long non-coding RNA (SBIC_LNC018038)". The record is from RNAcentral. Lineage: Eukaryota; Viridiplantae; Streptophyta; Magnoliopsida; Poales; Poaceae.
CGCGGGCGUUGUUUCCCACGCGGUGAAACGGGAUGAAAUCCCCACUAAGGGCUAAAUCGUUUCACCAUCUUGCAUGUGAUCCAAUCAUUUUGCAGUAAUUAAAUGCUUUGUCCAGCCUAGAAAACGUCAAAGUAAAACUCAUGUAUUGUAGAGGUUGUUUCAUUAUUCGUUUCAUUGAUGUCCUAUCAGCGGAUUUGUUUUGAAAACAGUGCAUUGAAACGGGCCAGGCUCUUCGCCGCUUUGGGGAUGCAGCCGACUGAGGAGUGACAUAGCUGCGCAAUAAAACCGCGUCAAGCAAAAGCAAGCGGGCCCAAAAAUACAGUGGGAGAACAAAACAAAUAGCAGGCCGAACUACAUGGAACCUGAACACAUAAUGCACAAGGUACGCCCAGAGAACAACAAGGCCACAACUACGGUACAGGUUCCACUAAAAUAACUACAAUCUAUACCAGAUAUAAAAGAGCCAAAAUUUCAGUCUGCCAAAUAUUUUCUUCUGCCUGAUCCUGUCCGUGUUUGGUUUACCGAUCGCCUCCUCGGUCCAACGUUUCUAGAAGGGCAAAAACAAAAUAAAAAACAUUCUAGGGUUCCUAAUGCAAAACCUCAUAUUACUCCGCUCCCGUCGCUCGCCUCUGUAGGCCCAAUCAGCCCAAUCGGAAUCGGUACGAUGGAAGAGAGAAAAAAGAAUAAAAUUUUUUUUAGGAUUCCCAAUGUAAAAUCUCUAAUUUACUUUUCUUUUAUUUUUUAAAUCGGCUGAAACUUAAUAAAUGCAUAGUAAUUCAUAGAAAAAUCUAAAAAUUAUAAAACAAAUUUUGUUCAGCUCCACAUAUGUAGAUCCAUGCAGUAAACAAAAAAUAUCACAAAUUUUAGUACAUUUUUUUUGGAAAUGUUUGCCUAUGCUUUUUACUGUAAAAUUAAAAUUGUAGUUAUCUUGCUCCAA